RNAcentral lists this long non-coding RNA (331 nucleotides) under Homo sapiens (human). RNAcentral's name for it is "non-protein coding LINC01934:22". The record is from RNAcentral. Lineage: Eukaryota; Metazoa; Chordata; Mammalia; Primates; Hominidae.
GUUGACUGCAGGUAACUGAAACUGCGGAAAGUGAAACUGCAGAUAAGAGGGACCACUGUAAAUAAGUGACAUGAAUGAUACUGCAAAGGACCAUAGCCUAACCAGCCAAGCAAACUGGAAGUACCUUUAGACUCACGCUUUGCCAAGCUCAGUUCCAGAAUCACAUGAUGAAAAGAAUGAUGGAAAGAAAAUGUUUGUGAUAUUAAAAUUAAGGAAAUUACUCCAACUCAGAGCUUUGAAUCUUGACAGAGUGUUGCAAAGACAGAAGAAAUGGUAAAGUUUCAUUUCCUUAUUUUUGGCAACUGGAAGACAAAUUGCCUACUUGUUCCAA